Camelina sativa (false flax) is the source of this 724-nucleotide non-coding RNA. The record is from RefSeq and is a predicted model, not a curated record. NCBI's taxonomy places the organism in Eukaryota, Viridiplantae, Streptophyta, Magnoliopsida, Brassicales, Brassicaceae.
UCUGGCAAAGUCUCAAAUUUUGCUCUUUUGCUUUCAAAGUACUCUAUUAUUCUUACAAAAAAAAACCAAGAAAAAAACCAGUACCACUUUCUUAGAAACCGUUCCCCCAUGAUCUCAAAGUUCUUUCCCUCAACCAAGUUCUCUCCCAAUUUCAUAAACGAAGUCUUCAUCUGUAUAAUCCAUUGUAUCAAAAGUAAAUACAGAUACAUUAACAUCUUCUUCUCUAGAUUCUCAAAACCUAAUUAGAUCCUCCAUUCUUUCUUCUAAAUCCGCCAUCAAAACUACAGAGAAAUGAAAAAGAAAAAUUAUUCAGCCUCUCUAACCAAUUCUGACAUUGGACGAAGAUUGGUGGUAAACAAAUCAAAUACCCACUCAAAUCUCUCUGGACGAUGCUGAAAACUGAAAACAAUGAAAGGUGAGGCUUACACUUCAGCGAGGGAUUUCACCAAGAUGAUGGUUCAUCAAUGAUGCGUGAAGUUAACUUCUCAAUUGACGGAUCCUAACAAACUGACUUUGGCCCACAUAAACGCCGUAGGUAUACUAUGGUUUAGUGAAUAUAGAAUGAUGAGAGUCUGAAGAAAAUUCAAAAUGGAAUAUAGGAAUAAAGAAGAGAAGCGGAACCAUGAAAAAAGACACCAAGCUACUGUAACGUAUAAUUCUUGCAAAAUCAUGAACGUUUGUAUUAUUUUUCUAUACUUCGAUGAUUCUAUCACAAUUGCCUGUA